AGUCGUAACAAGGUUUCCGUAGGUGAACCUGCGGAAGGAUCAUUAAUAAUGCCUCCUGGCUUCGGUUCGAGCUGGGUUCAAGUGUGUGUCAUCUCUUCGGAGAUGGCCAUCCACACACACCGUGAACUGUGACUUCGGUCAUCACAAACUUUUAGUAAUGAAUGUAAAAUCAUAACAAAAUAAA
RNAcentral lists this unclassified non-coding RNA (184 nucleotides) under plant metagenome. RNAcentral's name for it is "partial contains small subunit ribosomal RNA and internal transcribed spacer 1". The stretch from base 1 to 45 matches the Rfam family "Eukaryotic small subunit ribosomal RNA", at positions 1787 to 1831 of the family's 1831-position model. The record is from RNAcentral.